UUGUCCUGUGACUGCGUACCUUUUGUAUAAUGGGUCAGCGACUUAUAUUCAGUGGCAAGGUUAACCAUCUAGGGGAGCCGUAGGGAAACCGAGUCUUAACUGGGCGUUCAGUCUCUGGAUAUAGACCCGAAACCAGGUGAUCUAGCCAUGGGCAGGUUGAAGGUUGAGUAACAUCAACUGGAGGACCGAACCGACUAAUGUUGAAAAAUUAGCGGAUGACUUGUGGCUAGGGGUGAAAGGCCAAUCAAACCUGGAGAUAGCUGGUUCUCCCCGAAAGCUAUUUAGGUAGCGCCUCGGACGAAUACUACUGGGGGUAGAGCACUGUUAAGGCUAGGGGGUCAUCCCGACUUACCAACCCUUUGCAAACUCCGAAUACCAGUAAGUACUAUCCGGGAGACACACGGCGGGUGCUAACGUCCGUCGUGGAGAGGGAAACAACCCAGACCGCCAGCUAAGGUCCCAAAUUACUACUAAGUGGGAAACGAUGUGGGAAGGCUCAGACAGCCAGGAUGUUGGCUUAGAAGCAGCCAUCAUUAAAGAAAGCGUAAUAGCUCACUGGUCGAGUCGGCCUGCGCGGAAGAUGUAACGGGGCUAAGUAGUAAACCGAAGCUGCGGCAAUGUGCUUUUGCACAUUGGGUAGGGGAGCGUUCUGUAAGCGGU
This 660-nucleotide ribosomal RNA is filed under the name Vibrio parahaemolyticus. RNAcentral describes it as "partial 23S ribosomal RNA". It matches the Rfam family "Bacterial large subunit ribosomal RNA", at positions 586 to 1251 of the family's 2925-position model. Lineage: Bacteria; Pseudomonadati; Pseudomonadota; Gammaproteobacteria; Vibrionales; Vibrionaceae. The record is from RNAcentral.